GCCCUAAUACAUGCAAGUCGAACGAACUCUGGUAUUGAUUGGUGCUUGCAUCAUGAUCUUACAUUUGAGUGAGUGGCGAACUGGUGAGUAACACGUGGGAAACCUGCCCAGAAGCGGGGGAUAACACCUGGAAACAGAUGCUAAUACCGCAUAACAACUUGGACCGCAUGGUCCGAGCUUGAAAGAUGGCUUCGGCUAUCACUUUUGGAUGGUCCCGCGGCGUAUUAGCUAGAUGGUGGGGUAACGGCUCACCAUGGCAAUGAUACGUAGCCGACCUGAGAGGGUAAUCGGCCACAUUGGGACUGAGACACGGCCCAAACUCCUACGGGAGGCAGCAGUAGGGAAUCUUCCACAAUGGACGAAAGUCUGAUGGAGCAACGCCGCGUGAGUGAAGAAGGGUUUCGGCUCGUAAAACUCUGUUGUUAAAGAAGAACAUAUCUGAGAGUAACUGUUCAGGUAUUGACGGUAUUUAACCAGAAAGCCACGGCUAACUACGUGCCAGCAGCCGCGGUAAUACGUAGGUGGCAAGCGUUGUCCGGAUUUAUUGGGCGUAAAGCGAGCGCAGGCGGUUUUUUAAGUCUGAUGUGAAAGCCUUCGGCUCAACCGAAGAAGUGCAUCGGAAACUGGGAAACUUGAGUGCAGAAGAGGACAGUGGAACUCCAUGUGUAGCGGUGAAAUGCGUAGAUAUAUGGAAGAACACCAGUGGCGAAGGCGGCUGUCUGGUCUGUAACUGACGCUGAGGCUCGAAAGUAUGGGUAGCAAACAGGAUUAGAUACCCUGGUAGUCCAUACCGUAAACGAUGAAUGCUAAGUGUUGGAGGGUUUCCGCCCUUCAGUGCUGCAGCUAACGCAUUAAGCAUUCCGCCUGGGGAGUACGGCCGCAAGGCUGAAACUCAAAGGAAUUGACGGGGGCCCGCACAAGCGGUGGAGCAUGUGGUUUAAUUCGAAGCUACGCGAAGAACCUUACCAGGUCUUGACAUACUAUGCAAAUCUAAGAGAUUAGACGUUCCCUUCGGGGACAUGGAUACAGGUGGUGCAUGGUUGUCGUCAGCUCGUGUCGUGAGAUGUUGGGUUAAGUCCCGCAACGAGCGCAACCCUUAUUAUCAGUUGCCAGCAUUAAGUUGGGCACUCUGGUGAGACUGCCGGUGACAAACCGGAGGAAGGUGGGGAUGACGUCAAAUCAUCAUGCCCCUUAUGACCUGGGCUACACACGUGCUACAAUGGAUGGUACAACGAGUUGCGAACUCGCGAGAGUAAGCUAAUCUCUUAAAGCCAUUCUCAGUUCGGAUUGUAGGCUGCAACUCGCCUACAUGAAGUCGGAAUCGCUAGUAAUCGCGGAUCAGCAUGCCGCGGUGAAUACGUUCCCGGGCCUUGUACACACCGCCCGUCACACCAUGAGAGUUUGUAACACCCAAAGUCGGUGGGGUAACCUUUUAGGAACCAGCCGCCUAAA
This 1452-nucleotide ribosomal RNA is filed under the name Lactiplantibacillus plantarum. RNAcentral's name for it is "bacterial SSU rRNA". It matches the Rfam family "Bacterial small subunit ribosomal RNA". Lineage: Bacteria; Bacillati; Bacillota; Bacilli; Lactobacillales; Lactobacillaceae. The record is from RNAcentral.